GGUGGAAGUCUUUGGAUGAUAUUGAGUUAGACUUGUGUAAUUUGACAGAUAAACAAGGAAAACUAUGAUUUCUAUGGAAUUUAAAGCAGCAUUAAAAAUUACGUGGCAUUUAUGAUAAAAAAAACUUUAAAAUGAAAUAUAGGCCAGGAACUGAAAUGUGAUUUAGGAUUUGUUGACUUUAAUAUAAUAACAGAUUUCAAGUCUUGAUGGUUGGAGUUUGAUUAUCUGAGCAACUUUUAGCCAGUUUAAUUUUAAUGUGUUCUUUUUUAUAAAACUUGUAGCUGCGCAGUCCUGACUUAGGAAUUUGCUUCAUUAUUUGGUAAAUAUUUGAUUUCAAAGUCAUUAUUUUGGAUUUCCAUCCAUUUUUUAUUGUUCUAUAUCAUCUCAGGCACAUGUAGAUACCAACAUAUUUGCAUUAAAGCUGGUGUAAAUCCCUUUUUGAGAACCCCCCAUUUCAGGUGUUGUGACAAAAUGGUGUCACUUUACCUUGCCCUUAAAUAUAUGGGAAUAAUCGCACAAACAGUUUUUAAUAGGUAAACAAUCUACUGGUCCACCUAUGUGGUUUUUACUGCGAGAACUUCGCUUUUCCACAUAAAGUAAGCAGAUUCUUUUUCCCCACGGGUUUUUUUCUAUCUGCAGUGAUGACAUUUUGAUAUACAAGAACUUGUUUUAUUUUUUGUUUUUUGUUUGUUUUACCAAUUUUCUGUUUUUAUAUAUUACACCUUGAUAUGUAGAUAACUGAAUUAAAUCAACCUGUCCAAAAUAUCAUAUUUUAAUGUAUUGGACAAAUUAAUUAUUAUACAUUAUUUAGUUUUUUUUCAUAUGCCUAUAUUAAACAAUUUUCCUUUUCCCGAAACUUGGAACAUACCAGUUUAUGGUAAUUUGAAUGGGGCCAAAAUCAUUUCAAAAUUUUUGACAUUCAAAUAUAAGGGGGAGGUGGUGGGGUCGAGAUUUUUAUAAGAUUUUUUUUUUAUCUAUACCCACAUAUUUUAGAAUAUUGUUUAAUGUGGGCCAACUGAUAAUUCAUCAGUCAAAAUAGAAUAUAUACUAAGCAGCAAAAGAAACGUCAGAUUGGUACGUUACUCUGAAUAGAGACAUUGCAUAAAACUUGCCAAAUGUUUUUAUUGUAUAUUUGUGACCACAUCUCCAACUUUACCUGAGCAAUAAGGCUCCUUCCCAAACACAGAAUUGAACCCAGGAAAUGUUCUCAAAAAUGCAAACUGACUUCUGAGAUGGUAAUGUGUUCUCCAUGAUUUUCAUGUAACUGAUGCUGCACAUGCUGUUACAGGGACCAGCUUUAUAAAAAUGCACUCCAUACCUGGUUGAAUCAUUCACACUACACGUCAGCAGCAUGCCAUGACUCACGAAAGCUCAGAGGAACCAGGCGCUUGGAAGACUCGAUGCUGGCCACACUGCCCAAGCCGUUGCCAAUCACUUCCAGGUCAGUGUUCGGACCAUCUACAGGCAUCAGCAACGCUUUCAGGCCACCAACACCACGGAUGAUCGCCCCCGAACUGGUAGACCAAGGGUUACCACAAGGCGACAAGACCGCCAUGUUGUGUGACAGCACGUGCAGAAUCCCUUCACACAGGCUUCAGAAACAGCAUGUUGUACAAUGGGAACACACAGAAGACCCAUCAGUACCGAUACAGUGUGCCGACGUCUCACCAGAGAGAACAUCCAUUGCUGUAGACCUUACCGUGGACCGAUCCUCACCCCUCGCCAUCGACGUGGACGUCUACAGUUUGCCCAACAACACCAGAACUGGCAACACAGGCAAUGGGGAACUGUUCUUUUCACAGAUGAGUCAGUAUUCCGAAUCAACUGCAGAUGGCAGGACCAGAAUAUGGCGUCGACGUGGCCAGCGUUAUUCUGACAAAUGUGUCAUGGAACGAGACUUAUGGGGAGGUCCAAGCAUAAUGGUUUGCAGUGGAAUCGGCCUGAACCAGAGAGUGGGUCCUGUGGUGUUCCAAAAUCUUGGUCCAGGGAAAGGAGGAGGCAUGACAGCAGUGCGCUACAUCGAUCAAACUCUCAGACCCCAAGUGAUACCCUAUUUCGCACGUCAUCGAAAUGUUUUCCAGCCCGUGCCCACACCGCCAGAGUUACUCAGGACUUUCUACAACAGAACGGUGUUAAUAUUAUGCACUGGCCAGCCCUUAGUCCGGACUUAAACCUGAUUGAACAUCUUUGGGAUGAAAUUCAGAGGAGACUUAAUAACGUUGUACUGAGACCAAACACAGCCGAUGGAUUGCGCCAGGCUUUUCUGAGAGUGUGGUUCCAGGUGCCAAUGGCAUUCAUCAAUCGUCUGGUCCACUCCAUGUACAGACCCUGCGCUGCUGUUAUUGACACUUGCGGUGGACACACCAGAUGCUGAUGUAUAGACUGUGUACAGACUCUAAACCGUCUCGUAAUGUCUUGGAAUUGUGAUGAAUUACAUACUGUUCACAAAACAAAAAAUUGCUUUGAUCCAUUUAGUAAGUCGUUUUCUAGAAUGAUUUGAUUAAAGGCCCUCUCUGAUUUUGAAAUCGUACUGGUUUUUUUUUGCUGUUUAGUAUAUUAUUUCUUAAUCAAUUAUGUUCUUAAUAGAUAAGAGGUUUUGAUUUAUGUUCGUAUUUUCCAUUGAAAAUUUUUGUUAUUGUAAUCAAAAUAUCUGAUGUUAAAGGAGCUAAGUCGCUAAUAUUUGGGACCUAGAAAUUGACGCAAAUGGGUCGCAACGCAUACAAAAAUGCAAUAUCAAUGUAUAUAAAUUGAUUUACAUUCAAUCGUUUCUGUUUUUACUGUAAUUUCUAAUCAGUUAGGUUCGGCAAAAUACGCCAGUAUUCUCAACCGAAUUUCAAUCUCUAGCGUCUGGUUUUUCCAGUCUACGCCGAUAAUAUUUAUUGGGCAUGCUCUCCAGAUAAGAAUAUUGCGUCACCGUUUGAGAUGACUUGUGGAAUAUGCUUAGCCUGGUUUUCGAGUCCCUUGUUACAAAUAGCGCUGAAACGCAUUAUGGUACAGGAUUCAUGUACCAAUUGUAAAAUGUUUAUUUAGUCUUAAAUUUUGGAUAUCAGAAGGUCAUCUUUUCCUGGUAAGGUCACAACAUCAAUGUUGAUUUAAACAGACAAAUAGAUCUGUUUUCAAUGUUGAAGAUUUUGGAUGAUAUUGAGUUAGAGACUUAGCUACUUUGAAUUAAACAAAUUAUUAUCUUGUUAUUGCCAAAAUAGUAUUUUUUUAAUGAAGUUGUAGGACAGAUAUCUACUGUUAUAAUUGUUCAUUCAUGAUUAUGUAUUUUACAGUGUAAGGUCAAUAGUGAGUAAACAUUUCCAGUUGAUCAGGGGACUAGGGAAAAUCCUACCUCCUCCUUCCUAGAUAUGAGUUAGGGUUAGGUAGCCGGCUCUCAAUACUGUACACUCACUAUAUACUACAAUAAGAAUACAUGUAUACUAUAAAAUGAUGAUACCAGUGUCUAGAGAUUGUCAGAAAAGCCUACAAAGAUUGAUAUAAAUAUUCACAUGUUUGUAUUAUUGUCAGUUGUGUUUGGGGAACAUAAUAUUUCAUAUGGACAUAGAACGAGGUCAGAAUUCAAAUAAUUCAUCUGUUGAAUAGAUUAUAUCAUUUCUUAAUGAAAUAUAUAUACUUAUAGAUAGAGAUUUUGAUUUAUAUUUGUAUUUCCCUAAUUAGUAUACAUUAUUAAGUUAUUUUUAUACGCCUAUAUAAAACAAUAAUUAGUUGAUUUAUAUUUGUAUUUCCCUAAUUAUUAAACAUUAUUUAGUUUUUUUAAUACUUAUAUUAAACAAUAAUUAGAUAUUUUUAUAUGCCCAUAUUUCAUGUUACAGAACAAAAUUCUAAAUUUUCCAUUUUCCUAAACUUGGAACAUACCAGUUUAUGGUAAUUUGAAUGAGGCCAAAAUCAUUUCGAAAUUUUUGAUAUAAAAACAUGUUGGCGUUGAGCAAAUCUUCACAAGAUUUUUGCCUGCAACCACAUUAACAUAUUUUAAGAUAUUGUUUAAUAUGGGCCAACUUUUAUCUUGUUUCUUAAUCAGUUAUAUACUUAUAAAACUGUUUACAAAUAAAAUAUUUC
Long non-coding RNA from Patella vulgata (common limpet), 4059 nucleotides. RefSeq lists it as uncharacterized. The record is from RefSeq and is a predicted model, not a curated record. The transcript is spliced from 3 exons. Lineage: Eukaryota; Metazoa; Mollusca; Gastropoda; Patellidae.